Molecule: ribosomal RNA, 292 nt
Filed under: uncultured bacterium
Lineage: Bacteria
Description: partial 16S ribosomal RNA
Rfam family: Bacterial small subunit ribosomal RNA
Source: RNAcentral
GUGCCAGCAGCCGCGGUAAUACGUAGGGUGCGAGCGUUGUCCGGAAUUACUGGGCGUAAAGAGCUCGUAGGUGGUUUGUCGCGUUGUCCGUGAAAACUCACAGCUCAACUGUGGGCGUGCGGGCGAUACGGGCAGACUGGAGUGAUGUAGGGGAGACUGGAAUUCCUGGUGUAGCGGUGAAAUGCGCAGAUAUCAGGGGGAACACCCGUGGCGAAAGCGGCUCUCUGGGACGGUACUGACGCUGAGACGCGAAAGCGUGGGGAGCAAACAGGAUUAGAAACCCGCGUAGUCC